Podarcis lilfordi (Lilford's wall lizard) is the source of this 76-nucleotide non-coding RNA. The record is from the annotation of a GenBank genome assembly. Lineage: Eukaryota; Metazoa; Chordata; Lepidosauria; Squamata; Lacertidae.
UGGAUAGCUCAGUUGGUUGAGCAUAAGACUCCUACAGAAAUCUCAGGGUCGUGGGUUCAAGCCCCAACUUGGGCAA